AGAGUUUGAUCCUGGCUCAGAUUGAACGCUGGCGGCGUGGAUAAGGCAUGCAAGUCGAACGUGAUCCAGGGGGUAACUCCUGGUGAAAGUGGCGAAUGGGUGAGUAACAGGUGGGUAAUCUGCCCUUGAGUGGGGAAUAAGGCUCGAAAGGCCGGUAAUUCCGCAUAAGGUCGCCGGGUCGCAUGGCCUGGCGAAGAAAGCGGGGGAUCGCAAGACCUCGCGCUCGAGGAUGAGCCCGCCUCCGAUUAGCUAGUUGGUGGGGUAACGGCCUACCAAGGCUACGAUCGGUAGCUGGUCUAAGAGGAUGGUCAGCCACACUGGGACUGAGAUACGGCCCAGACUCCUACGGGAGGCAGCAGUCUAGAAGCUUCGGCAAUGGGGGAAACCCUGACCGAGCGACGCCGCGUGCGGGAUGAAGCUUUUCGGAGUGUAAACCGCUUUCGCUGGAGAUGAAAGCAGGUACGGCUAAUACCUGCGCCUGUAGACAGUAUCCAGUAUAGAGCC
RNAcentral lists this ribosomal RNA (504 nucleotides) under uncultured Methylibium sp. Its description in RNAcentral is "bacterial SSU rRNA". It matches the Rfam family "Bacterial small subunit ribosomal RNA", at positions 8 to 491 of the family's 1533-position model. Lineage: Bacteria; Pseudomonadati; Pseudomonadota; Betaproteobacteria; Burkholderiales; Sphaerotilaceae. The record is from RNAcentral.